ACAGUAAGUGCCAUCACUCUCAUCUUCUUCCGUUUCCAUUUGUACAUCAAGAGAUUUUGAACUCCUUGAGACAUCCUCAUUUAGCACUAAUGAAUGUGUUCUGUUUUCAGGAUCUUCGUCCUCCAAGGAAUCAGUGGAAUUUGUUGAUCGGCUCUCACAGUCAGAAUCGUUUGAGCAAUCAGCAACAGUAGAUCCACAUGUUUCAUCCUCAGGACAUGUCACUGGUACAGUCAUAAUUUGGGCGCUCCAGAAUGCAGCAAACCCCGGCGACCAAGCUGACGUUGAUCAAAGAGGAUCCACGAUGACUUGCAUCAAGGAAAAGUCACGGCACCAUUGUGACCGGUCUUUAUCUUCUCUCUGCGUUGUGUUGAUAUUUUAACCAGACUGGACAACAAGAGAUUCUUUGGACCACUUUUUUUAUUCUGAAUGAAUAAAAAAAGGAAAAAUUUAUGGAAAAAAGUGUCAAUCCGUGGCCUUUCUCCACAAUUUCAACAUUGAUCUUUCCCCAGCUGCGCUUACCGCGAACUGCCAUCAUAUUACAAUUAUUAAAUGAACUGCAUAUGAUUAAAUCAACAAUAUUUAACAUUUUUCUCAAUGUAAAACAUUUCACAUGAAUUCAAAACAACAAUAUUAACAGAAACAUGGAUAGAGAACAUACCUGAAUGAAUAAAAAGGAAAAUUUAUGAAAAAAGUGUCAAUCCGUGGCCUUUCUCCACAAUUUCAACAUUGAUCUGCCAGUCAAAACAGAUAAUUUUAGCCACGGAACUUACACGGUUAAUAAACACCAAAAAGAAAAUACAUACUUCAUGUUACCCAACCUCUAUUAGUGUUACAAUAAGAUUAAAUUGUAUUUUUAACAAAAAAAAAUACAUAUUAGUCACAAGAAACAAACUAAUUUAAAACUUUUUAGUGAGAGCUCAGCAGAACUCACCUUUCCCCAGCUGCGCUUACCGCGAACUGAAGGAAAACAACCGGAACCUAACUCUUAAAGGGGCCACGUACUAU
Molecule: long non-coding RNA, 1005 nt
Organism: Cyprinus carpio carpio
Lineage: Eukaryota; Metazoa; Chordata; Actinopteri; Cypriniformes; Cyprinidae
Source: Ensembl